AACGAACGCUGGCGGCAGGCCUAACACAUGCAAGUCGAGCGAGGACUUCGGUUCUAGCGGCGGACGGGUGAGUAACGCGUGGGAAUGUGCCCUUCUCUACGGAAUAGCCCUGGGAAACUGGGAGUAAUACCGUAUACGCCCUAUUGGGGAAAGAUUUAUCGGAGAAGGAUCAGCCCGCGUUGGAUUAGGUAGUUGGUGGGGUAAUGGCCUACCAAGCCGACGAUCCAUAGCUGGUUUGAGAGGAUGAUCAGCCACACUGGGACUGAGACACGGCCCAGACUCCUACGGGAGGCAGCAGUGGGGAAUCUUAGACAAUGGGGGCAACCCUGAUCUAGCCAUGCCGCGGGAGUGAUGAAGGCCUUAGGGUUGUAAAGCUCUUUCAGCUGGGAAGAUAAUGACGGUACCAGCAGAAGAAGCCCCGGCUAACUCCGU
This 432-nucleotide ribosomal RNA is filed under the name uncultured bacterium. RNAcentral describes it as "partial 16S ribosomal RNA". It matches the Rfam family "Bacterial small subunit ribosomal RNA", at positions 29 to 506 of the family's 1533-position model. The record is from RNAcentral.